CAGUCGCCGCGGUAAUACGUAGGGUCCGAGCGUUGUCCGGAAUUAUUGGGCGUAAAGGGCUCGUAGGCGGUUUGUUGCGUCGGGAGUGAAAACCCAGGGCUUAACUUUGGGCUUGCUUUCGAUACGGGCAGACUUGAGGCAUUGAGGGGAGAACGGAAUUCCUGGUGUAGCGGUGAAAUGCGCAGAUAUCAGGAGGAACACCGGUGGCGAAGGCGGUUCUCUGGCAAUGUUCUGACGCUGAGGAGCGAAAGUGUGGGGAGCGAACAGGAUUAGAUACCCGCGUAGUCCCUGUCUCUUAUAC
Molecule: ribosomal RNA, 301 nt
Filed under: uncultured bacterium
Lineage: Bacteria
Description: partial 16S ribosomal RNA
Rfam family: Bacterial small subunit ribosomal RNA
Source: RNAcentral